GCGUGAGUGAUGAAGGCCUUCGGGUUGUAAAGCUCUUUUGUGGGGGACGAUGAUGACGGUACCCCACGAAUAAGCCCCGGCUAACUUCGUGCCAGCAGCCGCGGUAAUACGAAGGGGGCUAGCGUUGUUCGGAAUGACUGGGCGUAAAGGGUGCGUAGGCGGUUUAAUAAGUUUGGUGUGAAAGUCCUGGGCUCAACCUAGGGAUUGCACUGGAAACUAUUAGACUAGAGAUCGAGAGAGGAAAAUGGAAUUGCGAGUGUAGAGGUGAAAUUCGU
Molecule: ribosomal RNA, 275 nt
Filed under: uncultured bacterium
Lineage: Bacteria
Description: partial 16S ribosomal RNA
Rfam family: Bacterial small subunit ribosomal RNA
Source: RNAcentral